This 600-nucleotide ribosomal RNA is filed under the name Triticum aestivum (bread wheat). Its description in RNAcentral is "partial small subunit ribosomal RNA". The record is from RNAcentral. Lineage: Eukaryota; Viridiplantae; Streptophyta; Magnoliopsida; Poales; Poaceae.
AUGGGAGCCCAUGAUUCCUCCUACGUGUCUGGCUACCCAUAUAGCUAUGACAUCUGCUGUGAUAAUUUGAAGGAUCUUAGAUUGACUCAUAUUAUAACUCAGCCAGAAAUUGGACUUCGUUUUCUCCUGGGGAAGUGCAAAGCAUUGGAGACACUUUAUUUGGAGUACGUUAUUGGUCUAAGUGAGGGUGAGAUGAUCGCAUUAUUCCAGAAUUGUAGCAACCUUAAAAGCAUCUCACUUCGACUCAUCCCUCUGCACUGUGAAGAUUAUGAGUUUAGGACGUCAUUGACUGAUGUCAGCCUUAAGGCUCUAGCACUCAGCUGCCCUACGCUUCAGGUUGUUGAGCUCACAUUCGCAUUUUGCUCUGUUCGUCGGCCAACAAAUAUAGGCUUUACACAAGAGGGUAUUGUAGCGCUCAUCCAAUCCUGUCCAAUUCGUGCUCUUGUGCUAAACGGUGCCACCAUUUUCUGUGACGAGGGGAUGAAGGGCCUCUCAUCCUCACAGUUUCUGGAGACACUCGAGCUUGUGCAUUGCAAGUCUAUAACUGAUGUUGGGAUGGAUCUCAUUGCUCAGGCUCCUUGUUUGAGUCACCUCACGCUA